UACGUAGGGGGCUAGCGUUGUCCGGAAUCAUUGGGCGUAAAGAGCGUGUAGGCGGUCCGGUAAGUCCGCUGUGAAAGUCGGGGGCUCAACCCUCGAAUGCCGGUGGAUACUGUCGGGCUAGAGUGCGGAAGAGGCGAGUGGAAUUCCUGGUGGUAGCGGUGAAAUGCGCAGAUAUCAGGAGGAACACCUAUUGCGAAGGCAGCUCGCUGGGACGUAACUGACGCUGAGACGCGAAGACGUGGGAGG
RNAcentral lists this ribosomal RNA (246 nucleotides) under uncultured bacterium. Its description in RNAcentral is "partial 16S ribosomal RNA". It matches the Rfam family "Bacterial small subunit ribosomal RNA", at positions 524 to 768 of the family's 1533-position model. The record is from RNAcentral.